Molecule: ribosomal RNA, 468 nt
Filed under: uncultured bacterium
Lineage: Bacteria
Description: partial 16S ribosomal RNA
Rfam family: Bacterial small subunit ribosomal RNA
Source: RNAcentral
GACGAACGCUGGCGGCGUGCUUAACACAUGCAAGUCGAACGGAAAGGCCCUGCUUUUGUGGGGUGCUCGAGUGGCGAACGGGUGAGUAACACGUGAGUAACCUGCCCUUGACUUUGGGAUAACUUCAGGAAACUGGGGCUAAUACCGGAUAGGAGCUCCUGCUGCAUGGUGGGGGUUGGAAAGUUUCGGCGGUUGGGGAUGGACUCGCGGCUUAUCAGCUUGUUGGUGGGGUAGUGGCUUACCAAGGCUUUGACGGGUAGCCGGCCUGAGAGGGUGACCGGCCACAUUGGGACUGAGAUACGGCCCAGACUCCUACGGGAGGCAGCAGUGGGGAAUAUUGCACAAUGGGCGGAAGCGUGAUGCAGCAACGCCGCGUGCGGGAUGACGGCCUUCGGGUUGUAAACCGCUUUCGCCUGUGACGAAGCGUGAGUGACGGUAAUGGGUAAAGAAGCACCGGCUAACUACGUG